Pelobates cultripes (western spadefoot toad) is the source of this 298-nucleotide non-coding RNA. NCBI's taxonomy places the organism in Eukaryota, Metazoa, Chordata, Amphibia, Anura, Pelobatidae. The record is from the annotation of a GenBank genome assembly.
GAGGUAGCCAACACUGAUAUAUAUAUAAUGUUCCUCAGAGUAGCUGUUGACAUUAUAGUUGCACAGGCACUUUGUUAACUCUAGAGAACCUCGGACCAGACGCACAUCCCCGUGACGGCGAAUUUGCAUUUGGAUGUCAUCCAAAUCAACUUUCGAUGACAGUUUCUGCGCCUACCAUGGUGACCACGGGUAACGGAGAAUCAGGGUUCCAUUCCAUACAGGGACCCUGAGAAACGGCUACCAUAUGCAAGGAAGGCAGCAGGCGUGCAAAUGACCCACUCCUGAUGCGGGAAGGUAG